GAUGAAGAACGUAGCGAAAUGCGAUAAGUAAUGUGAAUUGCAGAAUUCAGUGAAUCAUCGAAUCUUUGAACGCACCUUGCACCCUUUGGCUAUUCCGAAGGGUAUGCCUGUUUGAGUAUCAUGAACACCUCAACUCUCAUGGUUUGCCAUGAUGAGCUUGGACUUUGGGGGUCUUGCUGGCCUGUGGUCAGCUCCUCUCAAAUGGAUUAGCUUGCCAGUGUUUGGUGGCAUCACAGGUGUGAUAACUAUCUACGCUUGUGGUUUUCCACCAGGUAACCUUCAGCGAUGGGGGUUCGCUGGGGCUCAUAAAUGUCUCUCCUCAGUGAGGACAGCUCUUUGAACGUUUGAUCUCAAAUCAGGUAGGACUACCCGCUGAACUUAAGCAUAUCAAUAAGCGGAGGA
RNAcentral lists this unclassified non-coding RNA (402 nucleotides) under soil metagenome. RNAcentral describes it as "partial contains 5.8S ribosomal RNA, internal transcribed spacer 2, and large subunit ribosomal RNA". The stretch from base 1 to 121 matches the Rfam family "5.8S ribosomal RNA", at positions 35 to 154 of the family's 154-position model. The record is from RNAcentral.